UACAAAAGCAAUAUAUGUAACCUAAACAUGUAUACCCCCAUAAUAUGCUGAAAUUAAAAAAAAAUAGAAAAUGAUUGCAGUCACACUGACUAGACAUUUUGGUGGCUUCUCUUAGGUACUCUCGGUGGAGACUGCGAGAAACACUUGGAUCUAGGAUUUAUUUUUUAAGAAUGCUAAUGGAAUUUGCUGACGUGUCGAUAGUAGAGUAUGACAGAGAAGGAGUAAUUGCUUAUGCCCCCUAUGUUUCCUUCAAGAGCCACUGCAGGAAGGACAGUGCACUGUACUGGAAGUAAGCAGAGGAUAUGUGCACGUGUGCACGUGUGCACAUGCACAUGCCUGUGUGUGCAUGUGCAUGUACACGCAUGUGUCCACAUGCGUGUAUGAUUCAUGUUUCUCUCAGACAUUCAUGUGUUGAGUAGACAGUUGAAUAUGUGGGGUAGAGCUGAGGGGAGAGAUUGGAGCUAGAGAAAAAAAUGCGGCAGCCAUCAAGAUGUAGAUGUAGUUAAAAGCCAAGGUCUGAAAAAAAAAAUUACCUAAGAAGAAAUUAUAGGCAGCGGAGACAAAGGUCUGAAAUCCAACAUUUAUAUGUGAGGAACAAGAGGUUAAUCAAGCAAGGGAAAAUGAAGAUGAGUUGCCGCUAAGGCAGGAAGGGAAAGGAAAAGUGGCAUCUCAGAAUCCAAAUGAAGAAUGUGCUUCGAAAGGCUGUGAUCAGCCGCAUCAAAUGCUGCCAAAAGGUGUAACGAUUUUAGGAUGGAGACUUGACUGAUGCAUUUAGGAGGGAAAUGAUUUUUUGAGAGGGAGGACAUUGACAUGUACAAUUUUAAUGAGUGAAAUGGUGAGGACAAAAUCCAGGCAUGUAUGAAGGAAAUAAUAGAUGAAGAAAAAUCAGAGACAAUAGUAUUACUUAAGGAAAUUUUGCUAUAAAAGAUAUCUGAGAAAUGAGUAGUAGCCAGAGGAGGUAGUGAGGACAGGGGGUAGAUUUUUAAAUAUGGGAGAUGUAGCAUGUUUGUGCUCUGCUGGGCAUGAUCCAGUAAAGAGGAAAAUACAGUGCAGGAGAGAGUGGAAAUAACCAUAAUACAAGACUUGAGCCAAAGUGGGCAAAAGGGGAUGAUUUUACUAGGCAAGGAGGGUUACCUAAAAACAGAAACAGGGGCAAUGCAUUUGUAGGGAUAUGGGGGAAGUCAGAACACAUAUCUAUAGAUGAAGACUCAUCAUCACCUAGCCAUGAUUCUUUGGCAAACAUAGCCUGCUGAUGCUUCAUUUGGUUGGUACAGACACAAGAUAGCAAAGAUGAAAAGAAAGUAAAGUAUAAAAAUAAAAGAUUUAAAAAACAAAAUAAUAUGGUGCUUUACCUUAUUGGCUACUGCUUCACAGUGGGUACAGGAGAGAAAAAUAAAGCAGGUCUCUCAGCAUUUGCUGCUGCCCAACACAUGAGUCUUCUUCAGAUGAUAUGCACCCGGAAUAUGCCUUGGAACAGCCCAUGGCAGACAGAAAUGAGGGGAAAUUAUUUUCUCAACUCCAUUCCAUCUCCUCUUUCCUGCUGGCAGUUUGCUGAACAACAUAAAGUCUCCUGUACUCCUGAGUUGCAUCUUCUCAUCCCUUUAAUGGCCACUUGGGGUGUGAGAUGCUAUGUCAUGCAGUGUUGUGUUUGAUCAAAAUUUGGAAGCAACAGAAGGAUCUACAAACUCCAAGACGAGAGCUGUGUGGCAGUGGCUGAGGAGUAAGGCUUGGCAGCAGAGGAGUAAGAGAGGUGGACAAUGUGUCUGCCCAUUAUGUUCUGCUUCCUUCCUACAAUAUAGGACUUUCUUUGGGCAGGCAUGUGUGCAUAUGUAUGUUGUCAGAAAAUGACACUUCUGUGCCUUCCCCAGAGAUAAAGAGUUGGGGUACAAGUGCAAGCACUUACAGAGUCUCCUUUAAGGUUUUAUCCAGCCAUGAACUCCUGGAAGACUUGAAAAAAUAGGGUGAAGGUUAAAAAGUGGAGGACCCACUGCUGCAGCUGGUCUCAAGCUUACAGUUGCUUUCCAUCAUCUCCCUCCUCUUCCAGCAGUCCUAGAUUUCCCUCACUCUUGGACAGCUAUUACACUGGCCAGGGUUGAAUAUCUGGUAGGGUGAUCCAGACUCUUCUCCUGCAGGGAUCUACGCCAUUACUUUCCCUACACUUGUUGGGGUGUGUUUGCUGUAAUUGGCCACUGACAGUGGUUAUCAACAUGGUAGCUCUAAAAGAUACUAUAAUGAAGUAACUACACUCAUUUACCUUAUUAUGUAGUAUCAAUUCUAGCUCCUCAUGUAAACAACUCCAAUUAACCUCUUUUUGUCCUGUUUAUCCACUUACACAAGAAGCUCAAAUUAACAAGGUAACAGAUGCACCUUGUUCAGUAUAACAUUUAAUAUAUUCCUUGGAAAAACUCUCCAAUAUUCCACAAGCCAUGAUCUAGGACUUCUAUUGCAGCAUGGCUCAAGUUGAAGAGGCAGAAGAGGCAGAAUGCAGAAACUCUGCAAUUGGACCACAGGAGAGAAGUCAUUCCCGUUUCUAACUCCUAUUUCCUGUGUCCAUAUAUUUUAGCUAUUGGAGAUACAGAACCAUACUUCAGUGGUUGAUCCGACAUAAACCAAAUCCUGGAGGACAGCAGCCAUGGUGCUGACACCUUAGCUGAGCCUUCCUCGGGCUAACUGUUCUACUGUUAUUUCAGGGCAGCUGCUUCUGGUGACAGGACAGAUAAGACUAGUGAAGUUCGUCAUCAUGAAACAACUUUCAGAUCUCUUUUGCUGUUAAAUGUGCCCUUUGAUAGGAAGCACUGCUGUACGGUACUGGUUUCUGGAUGAGCUAUUCUGUAAGCCCUGGAUGACAGUGAAGAUGGAGACACAUAUACAUAUUUAUAUCUAUUCCAAUAAAGGUGAAUUUAUGCCCCUCUGAAAUUGAGAUAUUCCAAUGGAUUCCAUCUCUGCCAAAUGGCUGGUAGGUCCCCCAAGAAGUGGUGUCACAUGUCCAUUUCUGCUGCUGCCAGAAGUAUUAGCUACAGAGGCCUUAGUGAAGACAAGCUCAUAUUGCUGGAUCAAUGUACAGCCCCCAUCUCUGCCACCAUGGCCCACGGGGCAUGCAUCACAGUGGCCAAAGAAAGAGGAUGGUUGAUAUCCACCGGAGAGAUUAUCCUCCCCAUCUGGUUAGCCAGCAGCUACUCCACAAUGGGUGCUCUCUACUGAGCAUUGAUAUAAAGCAAAAAGAAAAGAAACACUCCAUGCUCACUGGCAGAAGUCCAUCCAUGCAUUUCUUUUUCAGAUCACCUUAUUUGUAAUCUUCUAGUCUUAUUCUUUUCAAGCCUCUGACUAAUCAGCCAACCCAAUUGUUCAGGAGUCGAUCUAGAUUUUUUCUGCUGGCUACCUCUCCCUCUUUGCUAGCUGGGUGACCAGCUCAACCCCAAGGGGAUUUCCCUUUACUCCUGUUCACCAUGCCAUUGAGACCACAGGGGUCCAUUUCCUGGUAGUGUGUUUCACACUGACACAUCAGGCCAGUUCCUUUCCUCUUCUAUCAGUUGGUCAUAGGAAUCUUCUCAGACCACAGUGAGGUUGUAAGUGUGGGUUGAGGAAACAGAGGUAGGAUAUCAAAUGUAGGUAACAUCUGUUCAGGUAAUAUAUUUGUGCUUCCUAGAUCUGUUUGAGUGUGGUUCAAAAUGUACCAUCAGUGAUGGACUUCUGCUCAGUCUGUCUAACUUUAUAAUUUGGUGGUUGUGACAGAUUAUAUUAUUGUUCAAAAAUAUUCACUCUUACACCCACUUCCAUGGGAGUAUUAUAUUUCCCAAUCCCAUUAAUGUUUAACUUGGUUAUGUAACUUGUUUUGCUUCAGAGUGGGCAGAAUGCACUUACCUGCCCAUUGACUUUAGGUUAGGGUUGUGACUUUCUUUGGCUAAUGGGAUGUUGGCAAAUAUCACUUAAGAAAUUUUUAUAAUGUGCCUCUGUGUUUGGGUUAGCACUCUUGUCCCUCUGCCAUUGCAGGCUAUGGCCAUUUGGUUUUCUGUGAUUAGGUGUUCAAUCUCAACCGCGCCCCAGUAUCUCAUUAUAAGCUAUUUUUCAAGUGGAAUGUCAUUCUCUGAUACAGAAGUCAUGAUGUUGCUCCAGAAACUUUAGUGUCUUCCCUGUGACUUCUAUUGGAGUUUGCCAAAAAUUUCAUACAUUCUUACCCAACACAUACCCUCUAGCACCUGAAUUAUGUGGCCCAGGGGGCAGAACAGUAGGUACUGCACUCUGAACCUACUAAAAAACCCUCUGUGGUAGCCUAUGCAUGAUUCAACAAUACUGGGACCCAAUAUUCCAAAAUAAAGUAUUUCACCUCCAAUAUCAAAACAGGACAACCAAGUGUUAUUCCUCUUGUUUAGUGGAAUGAGAUACAAAAUGCAGCAAGUUGUAUGUUAUGAUGUCAUAAUGUCUUUGUCUAUUCAGGUUGCUAUAACAAAAUGCCAUACAGUGGCACAGAAAUUUAUUUCUCACAGUUUUUGAUAUUGGGAAGUCCAAGGUCAGCAUACCAGCAGGUUUGGUGUCUGGUGAAGGCCUGUUUCUGGAUCAUGGAUGUAGGUCUUCUUGGAUGUCCUCAUGUGGUAAAAUAGUAAACAGGAGCACCUACAUGGGGGCACUGCAUGAGGUCCAGGAGAUUGGAAGGUGCAGAAGACAGUCUCCACCCUCGUGGAGCCACAGUCAAAGGACAGACCUUGAGAUUCUAUUAGCAGCAGCUUGAAAUGACUUCAUGCCUUUCCCAGCACUCCUAAUUCCUCUGCGGUGGAAGUGACCAAGGAAUUACAGCUACAGCCAUUUCUGAGAGUCUGGGUUGUGACCUCAUUUCCGUCUCAGUGGAUCUUCGGCUACUUAUUUACUUCCCAGAAUCAAUCAGAACAGCAGCAGCUUCCCUCUGCUGCCUCACAGAAAUCAUCAGACCUGAAAGCCUUCUCCCUGACUGGACUUGACACGCCGCCCGGUUAGGAGGAGAGGUGUCCAGACACGAGCAGGACGCCCGGGAGCCGACCCAUGCCACGCCCUGCUUCUGUGACGGGGACGAGGGGCCUCACGACCUCUGCUUGUCACUGCAGCACUUGCCACAGAAAGACCUCCCCUCAC
This is a non-coding RNA of Microcebus murinus (gray mouse lemur), 5103 nucleotides long. NCBI's taxonomy places the organism in Eukaryota, Metazoa, Chordata, Mammalia, Primates, Cheirogaleidae. The record is from RefSeq and is a predicted model, not a curated record.